RNAcentral lists this ribosomal RNA (165 nucleotides) under uncultured bacterium. RNAcentral's name for it is "partial 16S rRNA". It matches the Rfam family "Bacterial small subunit ribosomal RNA", at positions 355 to 511 of the family's 1533-position model. The record is from RNAcentral.
UAGGGAAUCUUCGGCAAUGGGGGCAACCCCUGACCGAGCAACGCCGCGUGAGUGAAGAAGGUUUUCGGAUCGUAAAACUCUGUUGUUAGAGAAGAACACGAGUGAGAGUAACUGUUCAUUCGAUGACGGUAUCUAACCAGCAAGUCACGGCUAACUACGUGCCAG